Molecule: ribosomal RNA, 253 nt
Filed under: uncultured bacterium
Lineage: Bacteria
Description: partial 16S ribosomal RNA
Rfam family: Bacterial small subunit ribosomal RNA
Source: RNAcentral
UACGUAGGGUGCGAGCGUUGUCCGGAAUUAUUGGGCGUAAAGAGCUUGUAGGCGGUCUGUCGCGUCUGCUGUGAAAAUCCGGGGCUCAACCCCGGACUUGCAGUGGGUACGGGCAGACUAGAGUGUGGUAGGGGAGACUGGAAUUCCUGGUGUAGCGGUGAAAUGCGCAGAUAUCAGGAGGAACACCGAUGGCGAAGGCAGGUCUCUGGGCCAACACUGACGCUGAUGUGCGAAAGCUAGGGGAGCAAACGGG